RNAcentral lists this ribosomal RNA (506 nucleotides) under uncultured bacterium. Its description in RNAcentral is "partial 16S ribosomal RNA". It matches the Rfam family "Bacterial small subunit ribosomal RNA", at positions 30 to 523 of the family's 1533-position model. The record is from RNAcentral.
AUUGAACGCUGGCGGCAGGCUUAACACAUGCAAGUCGAGCGGUAACAGAGAGAAGCUUGCUUCUCUGCUGGCGAGCGGCGGACGGGUGAGUAAUGCCUAGGAAUCUGCCUAGUAGUGGGGGAUAACUUGCCGAAAGGUAAGCUAAUACCGCAUACGUCCUACGGGAGAAAGGAGGGGACCUUCGGGCCUUUCGCUAUUAGAUGAGCCUAGGUCGGAUUAGUUAGUUGGUGAGGUAAUGGCUCACCAAGACCGCGAUCCGUAACUGGUCUGAGAGGAGGAUCAGUAACACGGGAACUGAGACACGGUCCAGACUCCGACGGGAGGCAGCAGUGGGGAAUAUUGGACAAUGGGGGGAACCCUGAUCCAGCCAUGCCGCGUGUGUGAAGAAGGUCUUGGGAUUGUAAAGCACUUUAAGUUGGGAGGAAGAGCAGUUAACUAAUAUUUGACUGUUUUGACGUUACCGACAGAAUAAGCACCGGCUAACUUCGUGCCAGCAGCCGCCGUAA